UCCUAUAUGAGUUUUUUUUUGUUAUAUAGUAAUAGAUUUCUCUUCUCUGGUUUUCAUUUCGUUUCCGGUGCAUCUCUACAAAUAUUUUUCUACUUACUUCUUCUUUUUCUUCAAUCUCCACGGUUUUCAUUCACUGAAGGUAUUGAUCUUCGUUCAUGGACUUGUUAUCAAUUUUUUAUUAUCAUUGUGUAUGGAUUAAAGAAAAUGACAAACUUAGUUUUCUCUUAACUUUCCUUAAAGUUUUUU
RNAcentral lists this long non-coding RNA (246 nucleotides) under Lupinus angustifolius (narrow-leaved blue lupine). Its description in RNAcentral is "long non-coding RNA (LANG_LNC001229)". The record is from RNAcentral. Lineage: Eukaryota; Viridiplantae; Streptophyta; Magnoliopsida; Fabales; Fabaceae.